ACCUGAAACCGUGUACGUACAAGCAGUGGGAGCACAGAGCAAUCUGUGUGACUGCGUACCUUUUGUAUAAUGGGUCAGCGACUUAUAUUCUGUAGCAAGGUUAACCGAAUAGGGGAGCCGAAGGGAAACCGAGUCUUAACUGGGCGUUAAGUUGCAGGGUAUAGACCCGAAACCCGGUGAUCUAGCCAUGGGCAGGUUGAAGGUUGGGUAACACUAACUGGAGGACCGAACCGACUAAUGUUGAAAAAUUAGCGGAUGACUUGUGGCUGGGGGUGAAAGGCCAAUCAAACCGGGAGAUAGCUGGUUCUCCCCGAAAGCUAUUUAGGUAGCGCCUCGUGAAUUCAUCUCCGGGGGUAGAGCACUGUUUCGGCAAGGGGGUCAUCCCGACUUACCAACCCGAUGCAAACUGCGAAUACCGGAGAAUGUUAUCACGGGAGACACACGGCGGGUGCUAACGUCCGUCGUGAAGAGGGAAACAACCCAGACCGCCAGCUAAGGUCCCAAAGUCAUGGUUAAGUGGGAAACGAUGUGGGAAGGCCCAGACAGCCAGGAUGUUGGCUUAGAAGCAGCCAUCAUUUAAAGAAAGCGUAAUAGCUCACUGGUCGAGUCGGCCUGCGCGGAAGAUGUAACGGGGCUAAACCAUGCAC
This 647-nucleotide ribosomal RNA is filed under the name Escherichia coli. Its description in RNAcentral is "partial 23S ribosomal RNA". It matches the Rfam family "Bacterial large subunit ribosomal RNA", at positions 548 to 1194 of the family's 2925-position model. Lineage: Bacteria; Pseudomonadati; Pseudomonadota; Gammaproteobacteria; Enterobacterales; Enterobacteriaceae. The record is from RNAcentral.